This 347-nucleotide ribosomal RNA is filed under the name uncultured bacterium. RNAcentral's name for it is "partial 16S ribosomal RNA". It matches the Rfam family "Bacterial small subunit ribosomal RNA", at positions 338 to 682 of the family's 1533-position model. The record is from RNAcentral.
CCUACGGGGGGGAGCAGUGAGGAAUAUUGGUCAAUGGGCGCGAGCCUGAACCAGCCAAGUAGCGUGAAGGAUGACUGCCCUACGGGUUGUAAACUUCUUUUAUAAAGGAAUAAAGUGAGGCACGUGUGCCUUUUUGUAUGUACGUUAUGAAUAAGGAUCGGCUAACUCCGUGCCAGCAGCCGCGGUAAUACGGAGGAUCCGAGCGUUAGCCGGAGUGAUUGGGUUGAAAGGGAGCGUAGAUGGGUUGUUAAGUCAGUUGUGAAAGUUUGCGGCUCAACCGUAAAAUUGCAAUUGAUACUGGCAGUCUUGCUUACAUUUGCGUUAGUCUGCCUUCGUGUUGUCGCGGU